AACCCUACGGGACGCAGCAGUGGGGGAUAUUGCACAAUGGGGGGAACCCUGAUGCAGCGACGCCGCGUGGGUGAAGAAGCGCCUCGGCGCGUAAAGCCCUGUCAGCAGGGAAGAAAAUGACAGUACCUGACCAAGAAGCCCCGGCUAACUACGUGCCAGCAGCCGCGGUAAUACGUAGGGGGCAAGCAUUAUCCGGAUUUACUGGGUGUAAAGGGAGCGUAGACGGUUAUGUAAGUCUGGAGUGAAAGCCCGGGGCCCAACCCCGGGACUGCUUUGGAAACUGUGUAACUGGAGUACAGGAGGGG
This 305-nucleotide ribosomal RNA is filed under the name uncultured bacterium. Its description in RNAcentral is "bacterial SSU rRNA". It matches the Rfam family "Bacterial small subunit ribosomal RNA", at positions 335 to 657 of the family's 1533-position model. The record is from RNAcentral.